This 187-nucleotide non-coding RNA is filed under the name Dethiosulfatarculus sandiegensis. The record is from RNAcentral. Lineage: Bacteria; Pseudomonadati; Thermodesulfobacteriota; Desulfarculia; Desulfarculales; Desulfarculaceae.
CACCACAUAACUCAGACGGAUGCCUGUCAGGCAUCGCAGGGAAGCCGGUUGAAAUCCGGCGCGGUCCCGCCGCUGUGAUCGGGGACUUAAGGCCGCAAUUAAGCCACUACCGCUUUUAAUAGGGGUGGGAAGGCGCGGCCGGGGAUGAUCCGGGAGCCAGAAUACCUGUUCGUCAGAGGCCUUUUAG